This 72-nucleotide transfer RNA is filed under the name Camelus bactrianus (Bactrian camel). It matches the Rfam family "tRNA". Rfam says of the family: Transfer RNA (tRNA) molecules are approximately 80 nucleotides in length. Their secondary structure includes four short double-helical elements and three loops (D, anti-codon, and T loops). Further hydrogen bonds mediate the characteristic L-shaped molecular structure. tRNAs have two regions of fundamental functional importance: the anti-codon, which is responsible for specific mRNA codon recognition, and the 3' end, to which the tRNAs corresponding amino acid is attached (by aminoacyl-tRNA synthetases). tRNAs cope with the degeneracy of the genetic code in two manners: having more than one tRNA (with a specific anti-codon) for a particular amino acid; and 'wobble' base-pairing, i.e. permitting non-standard base-pairing at the 3rd anti-codon position. RNAcentral also lists the same sequence under 2 other names. Lineage: Eukaryota; Metazoa; Chordata; Mammalia; Artiodactyla; Camelidae. The record is from Rfam by way of RNAcentral.
GAGGGUAUAGCUCAGUGGUAGAAUGUGUGCUUAGCAUGCAUGAGGUCCUGGGUUCAAUCCCCAGUACCUCCA